RNAcentral lists this long non-coding RNA (1119 nucleotides) under Equus asinus (donkey). Its description in RNAcentral is "lncRNA (ENSEASG00005036114.1)". Lineage: Eukaryota; Metazoa; Chordata; Mammalia; Perissodactyla; Equidae. The record is from RNAcentral.
CUGGGUGGAGGGACCCUGUUGGCCUGUGGGCUGUACCCUGAGUCACAGCAGGGACCCUCCAGAGCCUGUGGAGAUCUGUGCCCACCCGGAGCAUGUUCCCAUGUCUGAGGGAGCAUGACAUGAAACAGCAAAUGAAAACACCGGGAUGGGUCGAGAGAGGACCACGGAGAAUGGGAAAGUUUCACAGCCCGUCUUUCCUGCUCCACGUGUCCAUUUCACACAUGAUACAGCUGGGGCCAGAAGCCUGGGAGAGAGGCUGGGACAUUAACGCGGCAGGUUGCGGGGAGCCACCGAAUACAGAAGUGACAUGUAAAAGCUGUUGUGAUUGUUCCGGCUCCCGCCAGGGGACACCACCGUUUCCCUCCUCCAGACAACACCGCUGAUCUUGUUAGGGACGCUUUUUCCUUUGAGGUCUGUAUACGUGAAUCGUAAAGGAAGAAGCUGAGUCGGCCGGGCCCCCAGGAGGCUGUCGGGGGCCUCACCGAGUUGGAAGCGUGGGCUUGGAGAGGAAGGGCAGACAGAGAGUUUCCACAGAGAAGUGUUGCCACAACGAGGUACCAGCUCGGCUCAGGUUGGGGAUGAAGGACGGGCCGGAACUGAAGACAACACGGGGCUUCGCAUGCAGGAAGAAUGCUGGAUGAGCUGGUGCCUGAGGUGCUGGCCAGUCAGGGCCUCGUUGGGGGUGCUGUGCCUGGAACCGUGGAGGAGAUAAAGCUGACCCUCUCCAGGAGGGUCCACCCCGGAUGUGAUGUGUCAGACUCCAGGCCUGUGGUCUCAUCCUCUGAAACGGACUGUAGUGAGAUUUCAUGAUGAUGCAGGUAAAUGGCCUUUGUUGAGCGAGUCGUUCACUCUGAAGCCAUGUUCUGGGAUUUCAGAGCAGCGAUGCUGCAGUGGCAGGACUCAUCGUCAAGGGUUGUCAACCAACCACAGCUUACGUGGCCUUAAAAACCCACUUAGGGAAAUCAAUACCUUCAAAUGUCUGGCCAGCGUUGCCCGUUUGUAGGGUUCAGUGGGAGUAGGAGCUCUUGGGGAGCAGUGGGGUGGAGUCGCACCAUUUACUCCAGGCCUUGCUGCGUGCUGCGCUCUCAUUGUUAAAUGCCUGCAGACAGUUCUAGCAGA